Molecule: ribosomal RNA, 397 nt
Filed under: uncultured Tintinnidium
Lineage: Eukaryota; Ciliophora; Spirotrichea; Tintinnida; Tintinnidae
Description: partial small subunit ribosomal RNA
Rfam family: Eukaryotic small subunit ribosomal RNA
Source: RNAcentral
GCUUGUCUCAAAGAUUAAGCCAUGCAUGUCUAAGUAUAAAUCUUUUACUUUGAAACUGCGAACGGCUCAUUAUAUCAGUUAUAGUUUAUUUGAUAGUCCCUUACUACUUGGAUAACCGUAGUAAUUCUAGAGCUAAUACAUGCUGUUAAGCCUGACUUACGAAGGGCUGUAUUUAUUAGAUAACAGACCAAUAUUCCCUCGUGUCUAUUGUGGUGAAUCAUAGUAACUGAUCGGAUCGCAUGGGCGUGCCCGCGACAAACCAUUCAAGUUUCUGCCCCAUCAGCUUUCGAUGGUAGUGUAUUGGACUACCAUGGCUUUUACGGGUAACGGAGGAUUAGGGUUCGAUUCCGGAGAGGGAGCCUGAGAAACGGCUACCACAUCUAAGGAAGGCAGCAGG